This 206-nucleotide long non-coding RNA is filed under the name Setaria italica (foxtail millet). RNAcentral's name for it is "long non-coding RNA (SITA_LNC001783)". Lineage: Eukaryota; Viridiplantae; Streptophyta; Magnoliopsida; Poales; Poaceae. The record is from RNAcentral.
CUUGCGGUGCAUGCAUGGAGUACUAAAUGUAGACGAAAUUAAAAACUAAUUGCACAGUUUUAUUGUACUUUGCGAGACGAAUCUUUUGAACCUAAUUAGUCAAUAUUUGGACAAUAAUUCACAAAUACAAACGAAACGCUACAGUGUGCUACAGUGCUGUAACAGUAAUUUGGCACCUCCCAACUUCAACAACUAAACAAGGCCUU